Molecule: long non-coding RNA, 858 nt
Filed under: Ursus maritimus (polar bear)
Lineage: Eukaryota; Metazoa; Chordata; Mammalia; Carnivora; Ursidae
Description: lncRNA (ENSUMAG00000012058.1)
Source: RNAcentral
CGGGCCUCUCCUCCCUCUUCCUCGCCCUGCGGUCCCUCCAUGGCCAUGUGCCUGUCACUUCGUGGGGACUGACACCUCCAUGCUGAGCAGCACACAAGCACAGCAGCUGGGGAGGAGGGCCAGGGCGGCGGAAUGAUGGAUGAGGCUAUAGUGCCUCCCUUCCCCGCUGCGGCUGUGGUGAGGAGAUCUCCCCUCGAAGAAGCCUGAUAUUUUCCAGGAAUUUCCUGAGGGGAGGGGACCAAGCAUUCCAGAAUGAGAGCCAGCUGUGGAGUUGAGGCCUGGGGGUGAGGAGCCGGGCUCUGGGCUUCCUGGCUGAGUCAGCGACCAUCCCCAGCUUUGCUCCCUUGCCUGCAAAGCAGCCAGCCUGAGGGAGGAGCCAGAAGAUGGAUGGAAGGCUGCAGAAGGGGAGAAGCCUCCGGCCGGCCCUGGGGGCUCAGGAAGACAGAGGAGGCCAGGCUGGAUAUUUUAUCUCUUCAGGAUUCCAGAGCACAAGACAAAUGGCCUCAUGUCCGGCAGGGAGGUGUAAUUCAUCCUCUGAGGUCCACUUUCCAUUUUGAAAGACCCAACUUUCCUCACACAGUAAUCUUGAGAAUGACUCCCCAUCUCAGGUGGGAGCCACCAUGACAUGGAGGGAGAGAAAACUCGUCCUCGGUCCAGGCUCCUGAUAAAAAUACCCCAACGCUCCACCAAGCCACAGCACUCAUUUCAGAGGACUUAACGCCUUACACACAUAAAAGGGUUCAGGGCCUAAGAAGCUUCCAGACUUGAAAAGGAAAUGAAUUUACUCAGUAUGCCCAAGCUUUUCUUAACAUCAUUCCACCCAUGUUCUGCCCUAAAUAAAGGCAUGAUAGGGAAUCA